AUGCCUAUGAAGAUUUUGUUGCUGCAGCAGCAACUUUUCUUGAAGCCAAAGAAACUUCCAGUGCCCCUAAAAACCCAGCAACAGAAACAGCCCUUCAGAGCUUUAAGCAAAAACGAGGGUAAAUUGAGAAACCAGGAGAAAUCUAUACUGAUAUUUGAACAUUCAGACUCCAAUUAUAGUUGCACAUUACACAGAAAAAGAUCCAUUGUGGCUGUAUCGCUUGUUUGA
Vicia faba (fava bean) is the source of this 228-nucleotide non-coding RNA. NCBI's taxonomy places the organism in Eukaryota, Viridiplantae, Streptophyta, Magnoliopsida, Fabales, Fabaceae. The record is from the annotation of a GenBank genome assembly.